Molecule: long non-coding RNA, 1178 nt
Organism: Ctenopharyngodon idella (grass carp)
Lineage: Eukaryota; Metazoa; Chordata; Actinopteri; Cypriniformes; Xenocyprididae
Exons: 5
Source: RefSeq, a predicted model, not a curated record
CUCUAUACACUCUGGAGCUAGGAACCGUUUUUCUUUAUGAGAGCUCCAAUCACACUGAUUUACACUGCUUAUACACUUUUUAACUUCUGUAUUCAUUUUCAAUCAUUUUUAAUUGACAUUUAAAAAGUGUCAUAUCAGAUUAUUGUCCCAGGAAGCUUUCAGUCAGACAAGAAGACACACAAUGGCUCAGUUUUUAUCAACCUACUUCUUAGUUUUGAUAUCAGCGCAACUGGUCAUAUCAUCUGGUGUGUUUGAGUUGAAGGUUCACUCUUUCACAACCACCAGCAGCAGUGUGUGUAAACAGUUCGGAGACUGUCAGGUUUCUUUCCAUGUUUGCCUGAACUACACGCAGGACGUCAUAUCAUAUAGGCUGGCAUGUUCAAAUGGCACUGGACUGGCAGGAACAUUCACAGACCAGAGCUCCAUUUCCACUAGUGCACCAAUAACUUUGCCCUUUAACUUAAAGUGGCUGGGAACUGUCUCAGUGAUAAUUGAAGCAUGGAAUACAGAGUCCUCCAAUGAUCCAUCAACAGAGAAUCUAAACAGUAUGAUUAGCUGCUUCACCACCAAAAGAAAUCUUACUAUUGGUGAGAAAUGGUCCCAGGAUGUGCAUCUUGGAGAGCAAAGUAAACUGCGCUUUUCUUACCGCGUAGUGUGCGAUGAAUUCUACUAUGGCGAUGACUGCUCUUAUUUCUGCCGUCCACGGGAUGACCCGUUCGGCCACUUUAACUGUGACGCCUCUGGAAAUAGAAUUUGCUUGCCUGAAUGGAAAGGCGAAUAUUGUGCAGAACCUAUCUGCUCAUCCGGCUGUAGUGAGGAACACGGUUAUUGUGAGGCCCCCGGUCAGUGCAAGUGCCUGUACGGUUGGCAGGGCCCCCUCUGUAAUGAGUGCAUACCCUACCCAGGGUGCGUACAUGGCACCUGCAAUCAACCCUGGCAGUGCAUGUGUAAGGAGGGAUGGCAUGGCCUAUUGUGUGACAAGGAUCAAAAUGUCUGAAUUUAGAAUUUCAGUAUUUUUCUGGUUACGUGUUUUCAUUCAUAAUAUGAUGCUGUGGAGAAGAAAACUGAAAAAAAAAAAAAAAAAUCCUUUCUUGGAUUAUGAUGUCCUGUUAACAAUAGACUGUGUUUGUGGCAAAAUGUGACAUUUCUUUAUUAAACUGUUUAAUAUUGUGAGCACA